AUUGAACGCUGGCGGCAUGCCUUACACAUGCAAGUCGAACGGCAGCACGGGAGCAAUCCUGGUGGCGAGUGGCGAACGGGUGAGUAAUAUAUCGGAACGUGCCCAGUCGUGGGGGAUAACGCAGCGAAAGCUGUGCUAAUACCGCAUACGAUCUCUGGAUGAAAGCGGGGGACUCGCAAGGGCCUCGCGCGAUUGGAGCGGCCGAUAUCAGAUUAGGUAGUUGGUGGGGUAAAGGCUCACCAAGCCGACGAUCUGUAGCUGGUCUGAGAGGACGACCAGCCACACUGGAACUGAGACACGGUCCAGACUCCUACGGGAGGCAGCAGUGGGGAAUUUUGGACAAUGGGCGCAAGCCUGAUCCAGCAAUGCCGCGUGCAGGAUGAAGGCCUUCGGGUUGUAAACUGCUUUGUUACGGAACGAAACGGUACUGCUUUAAUACAGUGGCUAAUGACGGUACCGUAAGAAUAAGCACCGGCUAAC
RNAcentral lists this ribosomal RNA (480 nucleotides) under uncultured bacterium. RNAcentral's name for it is "bacterial SSU rRNA". It matches the Rfam family "Bacterial small subunit ribosomal RNA", at positions 30 to 501 of the family's 1533-position model. The record is from RNAcentral.